AUUGAACGCUGGCGGCAGGCUUAACACAUGCAAGUCGAGCGGGGGAAGGUAGCUUGCUACCGGACCUAGCGGCGGACGGGUGAGUAAUGCUUAGGAAUCUGCCUAUUAGUGGGGGACAACAUCUCGAAAGGGAUGCUAAUACCGCAUACGUCCUACGGGAGAAAGCAGGGGAUCUUCGGACCUUGCGCUAAUAGAUGAGCCUAAGUCGGAUUAGCUAGUUGGUGGGGUAAAGGCCUACCAAGGCGACGAUCUGUAGCGGGUCUGAGAGGAUGAUCCGCCACACUGGGACUGAGACACGGCCCAGACUCCUACGGGAGGCAGCAGUGGGGAAUAUUGGACAAUGGGGGGAACCCUGAUCCAGCCAUGCCGCGUGUGUGAAGAAGGCCUUAUGGUUGUAAAGCACUUUAAGCGAGGAGGAGGCUACUUUAGUUAAUACCUAGAGAUAGUGGACGUUACUCGCAGAAUAAGCACCGGCUAACUCUGUGCCAGCAGCCGCGGUAAUACAGAGGGUGCGAGCGUUAAUCGGAUUUACUGGGCGUAAAGCGUGCGUAGGCGGCUUAUUAAGUCGGAUGUGAAAUCCCCGAGCUUAACUUGGGAAUUGCAUUCGAUACUGGUGAGCUAGAGUAUGGGAGAGGAUGGUAGAAUUCCAGGUGUAGCGGUGAAAUGCGUAGAGAUCUGG
RNAcentral lists this ribosomal RNA (679 nucleotides) under Acinetobacter baumannii OIFC137. Its description in RNAcentral is "bacterial SSU rRNA". It matches the Rfam family "Bacterial small subunit ribosomal RNA", at positions 28 to 701 of the family's 1533-position model. The record is from RNAcentral. Lineage: Bacteria; Pseudomonadati; Pseudomonadota; Gammaproteobacteria; Moraxellales; Moraxellaceae.